GGGGUUGUGGCUCAGCGGUAGAGCAUUUACCUUGCAUGUACGAGACCCUGGGUUCGAUCCUCAGCACCA
Molecule: transfer RNA, 69 nt
Filed under: Ictidomys tridecemlineatus (thirteen-lined ground squirrel)
Lineage: Eukaryota; Metazoa; Chordata; Mammalia; Rodentia; Sciuridae
Description: Spermophilus tridecemlineatus (thirteen-lined ground squirrel) tRNA
Rfam family: tRNA
About the family: Transfer RNA (tRNA) molecules are approximately 80 nucleotides in length. Their secondary structure includes four short double-helical elements and three loops (D, anti-codon, and T loops). Further hydrogen bonds mediate the characteristic L-shaped molecular structure. tRNAs have two regions of fundamental functional importance: the anti-codon, which is responsible for specific mRNA codon recognition, and the 3' end, to which the tRNAs corresponding amino acid is attached (by aminoacyl-tRNA synthetases). tRNAs cope with the degeneracy of the genetic code in two manners: having more than one tRNA (with a specific anti-codon) for a particular amino acid; and 'wobble' base-pairing, i.e. permitting non-standard base-pairing at the 3rd anti-codon position.
Source: Rfam by way of RNAcentral